Molecule: unclassified non-coding RNA, 313 nt
Filed under: Hevea brasiliensis (rubber tree)
Lineage: Eukaryota; Viridiplantae; Streptophyta; Magnoliopsida; Malpighiales; Euphorbiaceae
Source: RNAcentral
AGGACGUGCCAUCUACAGAUCUGUUUAUAGCAACAGAUCUCCUUCACACUCUUGUUAGUCUCACUUAUCUGGAGCUUGUUCCACCUUUUCUAUGAUGUUGGUAGUGUACCCUUUACUUCUAGUAGUGAGCUGUUGACUGAGAUCUACUUGCCUCAUUCAAUUUUUAUCUCUCCCCAUUUUUGUGGAUUCCUACCUCGUUCUCCCUGUGCUUAUAAUUUAGCUGUCUUGCACAUUUUUGUGGAUUCCUAGCUCAUUUCAUUGUGGAUUCAAUUUAGCUAUUUUAUCGCACUUGUGAGUUCCCUUCUAAAGCAGU